CAAAGGCAAUCCCAGUCUACAGCCAAACGACUUGAGGGUACCAGAUCUCAUUCGAUCUCUGAAGCUAAGCAGGGUCAGGCCUGGUUAGCACUUGGAUGGGAGACCAAAGAAAUCCAAACUUCAAACAAAGGAGAAAGUCUACCCAACAGGGUGGAGUGAAGAAGUCGCUUCAGAAAAAGCUGGGAGCUGAGCAUACACGCUUCCUUCAUGACCUGAAGCUUCUCCGCACUUGUUCAAUCACGAACUACAGGUCAUACUAUGUAACCUAGGCUAGACUGAAAGCUGCAGGGACUCUCCUGCCUCAACCUUCCAAAGACAAGGAUUAUUGGCUUGAACCACCAGGUCUGGCUCUUCAAGCCUUUGUCACACUAAAAACAAAACAAAAAAACCACAGGAUACAAAAAAAACUGCAAAGGAACUUGUCCUGGGUCCUUCGUGAACUCUACGCUUUGUAGCUCCUUACAACUUCUGAGUCCACCAGAGCCGCUUCUUUAAAUAAGGCCUGCUCCAGACGACUGACACAUGGAGAGACUGAGAGAGAAAUUUUCUCAGAAACAAAAGGCAACCAGGCAGAAGCAUCAGGAAAAAAAAGGCAUCAUUUAACCUCACAUAUUCAUCAAGGGCCAGUGCCAGCCUCUGUUCCUUCACGUGGUACAGCUCCUCCUGCGUCCUGAGUGCAUCCUGGGCCACGGAGAGAUAGUCUUUGAGCAUCUUCUCCUGCUCGCCCCGCCACUGUUUCCUCGGAUCUUCAAUCUGUGUGGUUUCUGAAAAGACAGUCUGUGUUGGAAUCUGCGAUAGGAUUUCAUCACAUUUGUGGUACUACUCGGAGGGACGGCUAGUUUGGAUUCUUGUAUCCGCUAAAGCACCUGCUGGAAACUUCUGAGAAGUGACUUGUCUAAAACUUGGAUAUGGCUGUUUUCUCUAUUUACUCUGAAACCAUCCCUGCCCCUUCAUUUACAGUCCUUGGCAACAGUGUACUGCAACUAUGAGGUCUUCACAUGGAUGCCACCCUUUUAAGAAUUCUCUGGCUCCCCAUUACUCCAAAAAAUAAAAAUCAAAUUAUCAUCAGCA
This is a long non-coding RNA of Mastomys coucha (southern multimammate mouse), 1071 nucleotides long. RefSeq lists it as uncharacterized. The transcript has 4 exons. Lineage: Eukaryota; Metazoa; Chordata; Mammalia; Rodentia; Muridae. The record is from RefSeq and is a predicted model, not a curated record.